AUUUUCAAGUCGAUGGAAGUUUGAGGCAAUAACAGGUCUGUGAUGCCCUUAGACGUUCUGGGCCGCACGCGCGCUACACUGACGGAGCCAGCGAGUCUAACCUGUGCCGAGAGGUAUGGGUAAUCUUGUGAAACUCCGUCGUGCUGGGGAUAGAGCAUUGCAAUUAUUGCUCUUCAACGAGGAAUUCCUAGUAAGCGCAAGUCAUCAGCUUGCGUUGAUUACGUCCCUGCCCUUUGUACACACCGCCCGUCGCUACUACCGAUUGAAUGGCUUAGUGAGGCUUCCGGAUUGAUUAACUGGAGAGGGCAACUUUUCUGGUUGAACGAGAAGCUAGUCAAACUUGGUCAUUUAGAGGAAGUAAAAGUCGUAACAAGGUUUCCGUAGGUGAACCUGCGGAAGGAUCAUUAAGAAUUGAUAAUAUUUGUGAAAUUUACACAGCAAACAAUAAUCAUACAAUCAAAACAAAAAUAAUCAAAACUUUUAACAAUGGAUCUCUUGGUUCUCGUAUCGAUGAAGAACGCAGCGAAACGCGAUAUUUCUUGUGAAUUGCAGAAGUGAAUCAUCAGUUUUUGAACGCACAUUGCACUUUGGGGUAUCCCCCAAAGUAUACUUGUUUGAGCGUUGUUUCUCUCUUGGAAUUGCAUUGCUUUUCUAAAAUUUCGAAUCAAAUUCGUUUGAAAAACAACACUAUUCAACCUCAGAUCAAGUAGGAUUACCCGCUGAACUUAAGCAUAUCAAUAAGCGGAGGA
This 749-nucleotide ribosomal RNA is filed under the name Geotrichum candidum. RNAcentral describes it as "bacterial SSU rRNA". The stretch from base 1 to 407 matches the Rfam family "Eukaryotic small subunit ribosomal RNA", at positions 1426 to 1831 of the family's 1831-position model. The record is from RNAcentral. Lineage: Eukaryota; Fungi; Ascomycota; Dipodascomycetes; Dipodascales; Dipodascaceae.